This 63-nucleotide ribosomal RNA is filed under the name Prospero autumnale (starry hyacinth). The record is from RNAcentral. Lineage: Eukaryota; Viridiplantae; Streptophyta; Magnoliopsida; Asparagales; Asparagaceae.
AAGCUUUGGGCGGGAGAGGGAAUAAGUUGGACAAAUUACUUGGAGGCAAAGGUGUUGCACCCC